RNAcentral lists this long non-coding RNA (897 nucleotides) under Salmo salar (Atlantic salmon). RNAcentral's name for it is "lncRNA (ENSSSAG00000098657.1)". Lineage: Eukaryota; Metazoa; Chordata; Actinopteri; Salmoniformes; Salmonidae. The record is from RNAcentral.
CCAGUCUCUGGGCGAAAAACAGCAGGGGUUUUUGUGAGUGGUCCUUCUGAGAACAAUGACACUGAGGCGUGCGUGCACGAGACGACUCCAUUUUUUUCUUUCAGUGUUUGAAUGAACUCAACGUCGCGCGUUUGGAAUAUUAUCGUUAUUUUACGCGAAAAAUAGCAUAAACAUUUAUUUUAAACAGCGUUUGACAUGCUUCGAAGUACGGUAAUGGAAUAUUUGGCAUUUUUUUGUCACGAAAUGCGCCUCACCCUUCGGAUAGUGACUUGAACGCACGAACAAAACGGAGCUAUUUGGAUAUAACUAUGGAUUAUUUCGAACCAAAACAACAUUUGUUGUUGAAGUAGAAGUCCUGGGAGUGCAUUCUGACGAAGAACAGCAAAGUUGGUGGUGGAAGGCACAUAUAAUUGUUGCGAACACCAUCAUACAAAAGAAGAAGAUUAAGUUAGCCCGGGGCACACUCCUACACUCAGGCAUAAUUUACAAACAAUUGAAACAUCCUGUCGGGCUGUAUCACCGCCUGAUACGGCAACUGCACCACCCACAACCGCAAGGCUCUCCAGAGGGUGUUGCCGUCUCCCCAAUGCAUUACCGGGGGCAAACUACUCACCCUCCAGGACACCUACAGCACCCAAUGUCACAGGAAGGCCAAAAAGAUAAUCAAGGACAUCAACCACCCAAGACACUGCCUGUUCACCCCGCUAUCAUGCACAAGGUUCCCUUGGAGAGUUCAUCAAUGAGCUUGAUGCCUUGAUAAGUUCCUUUCCUGAGGAUGGCUCACCUCUCACAGUUCUGGGUGACUUUAACCUCCCCACGUCUACCUUCGACUCAUUCCUCUCUGCCUCCUUCUUUCCACUCCUCUCCUCUUUCGACCUCACCCUCUCACCUUCCCCC